Long non-coding RNA from Monodelphis domestica (gray short-tailed opossum), 1694 nucleotides. RefSeq lists it as uncharacterized. NCBI's taxonomy places the organism in Eukaryota, Metazoa, Chordata, Mammalia, Didelphimorphia, Didelphidae. The record is from RefSeq and is a predicted model, not a curated record.
CUUUUCAUCAGUGACAUUUUCAUUGAUGAUUUGUAAAUUUUCAAACAAAGAAAAAUUGUCUCAAGCAGACAAUGGUCAUCAUCUGAACAGCCAGCCAAGAGCUCCACCUAGUGAAGUUGUACACAUAUCACUGUGACUGUGAGCUCCUGUCUCUCUCUCUCUCUCUGUUGUUUCUCUCUCCUUUUCUGUCUGUCUAUAUCUCCCUCUCUUUCUUUUUCCUCUGUCUCUCUGACUGCCUGCCUGUCUAUCUCUGUCUCUCUCUCUCUCUCUCUCUCUCUCUCUCACACACACACACACACUCACACACACACACACACACACACACACACACACACACACACACAAUACCUCAAGCAUACACAUAUCUGAUUACAAAUAUUCACAUAAACUUUUUUUAGAUUCAGGUGUUGCCUGUCCAAAUUCUUUUGAGAAAACAUCAAAAGAAAAACAAUUUCAUCUCUACCUGCCUGCCAGCCAUGUACUAUUCACUGUGAAAUCAGUAACCAGGCAAUGAGAGUAUGGACUGUUCUCAGUCCGCUCCUCUGGAUGUCCCUCUAGGGAGCAUCAUUGUGACAUCAUAAUUAAAACAGUGACAACAACAGCAACAAAAAAUGCCCUAAGUCAGUUUCGAAGGAAAGGAAUCUGCUUCAUCAAGUAAAGGCUCUCACCUCAUAUCUUCUAGAAAGUCCUCAGGGGCAGAUUAUUAGUAUGCAAUUAGCAUAAUAAUAGUGUUGUGUAAACAUAAGAACACCCAAGCUUAAAUAUAAGAAAUGCACAAUUUCCUAUCCUGUGUGUGGUUCCCAAGCAAAAUCUAUUGUCCUUUUCCCAUUCAUUUCUCUUUGUUGGAGAUUUACACUGAUUUGUACACAUCUAUUUGUAAGCUAGGUAUAUGAUCAGGCCUCUACAUAUUAUGUUAGAUGGCACAUUUUAUUAUGGGACAGAGCACUUAUCUUACCUUCAUAGAAUCAGUUUGCUACAAUGCCAGAAUCAGAUUUCCCAAAUCAACUCUAAUUCCUUCAAAUACAUUUCUCUUGCUUCAAAAAGAGACUUUAUGGAUUUUAUGAGUUUUCAUGGUACUCUGAAGGCAGUAAAGACACUUGAUAAGAGUUCAAAGGCAGGUCUAUUUCCAGGAGGGUUCUCAAUCCAUGAAGAAAGCACAUAGGACUCCACAGCACAAUUAUUUUAAUCUGCUAGUAUCGGUUUGAGAUGUUGGAAGUUUACAAAAAAGAUAAAUUAUCUGCAUUAGUAAGAAGCAUUAGGCCUCCUGACUAAACAAGUUUUUCUCCCCAUAAAAUAAGCUCUUUGAUUUUCCAAGAACAUCAUAAUCCAUAUUGUCAUCACUGAUUCAGUCCCUGCCAGGAACAUGGGCAGAUUUACAUAUGCCCUAAUCAAAUAUUUGGGGGCUGGGGAUGCUCACUGCCUAUCUCUGGAUCUGGAUUAUGGGACAUAUUUUGGAUUCCAGCCAGCCUGGAGACUCUUCAUUUCAAAGACAAUAACCACCUGCUAAAAGAAGAAAGAAAGCCAUUUCCUCCUUGACAUUCGUUAGCUUACCAUCAGCAGAAUCUUCUUGCUGCCUCAGAUUGAAAUGUAAUCGCUGCAAGGUUGGAAACUGCGUUAAGCGCCUCAUUGCUGCUGGCUUGUAAUUUUUUUUCUUUUGAAAAAUUACGUACAUAAAGCACUUUUCAUCUCUGUAA